UUAUUAAUUUUCUUUUACCUAACGAUAAAUUUAUAAUCAGUGUUAUUUUAUGGACUUGCGUCGAGCAAGUUAUCAUUUAUUGUGCAAUGUAAUUAUCGCUUGUGUACUUCCUUGAUAUUAUCCGCCGGAAGAUGGGUCAUCUUUUACGAUUACACGGAAUAAGGCAGCGAACAAGACCGGCGCUGAUUUAUGCAUGCACGAUAAAUGACAGCGACGUAGUCAACAUAGCGAACGACUUAAAAUACGUGCUUUACUUGCUUAUCUAUGGCAGAGCGACUGAUCCGACGAUGCGAGUUGAAUGGCGGACGAGACAGCCUAACGAUUAUCGAUAAUCGCACCGACAUGCGGCUCGCGAAACGGGGAAACACGAAAUAAUAGCACAUCUAUAGUUUUCCCAGACGCGCCUCGAUACAAAACGAGAAGAAGGAAGCAAAGAAGGGAAAGAGGAGAAAAAAAAUGGAAUGUUUCCUCUCCGAAGCGAAGGCUCUGUGAAUGACCAGAUAAAAAUAAUACGGAUCCACGAACGUUCUGCCAGGAGGAAAUAGAUGGAACGUAGGAAGGUAUUUGGCACGAUCAGCAUGCAUAAGAUUUGGCAGACCAUGGGAUGAAAUACGGGAGUAAGAAAGUAGAAAUUCGAGAUCGGUUCGCUAGAGGCUUCCUAUACUUUCUUAAUACAUUUCGUAAUGUGAUUCUCCCAUCAUACUAUUAAUGUUUGAAACUUUUUUAUUUAAGCUUUAACACACAUUAUAUGUCCUCUCAGGAUACGUCAGUGAUCUAAUAUUACGAGAGACGUACGCGAUUGUGUAUACAUAUAGUUAAAUUUUUAAAAUAUAUAUUUUGCUUUGGUGAUACGUUUGGUUGAAAGAUGAUUAAUAUAUAGCUUCAUGUUUAGAUAUCUCAGUUUAUUAAAUAUAUAUGUACUAGUAGAUAUCUGAUAAAUAGAGGUAUAUAAUUAUAGAGCAGUAAUAUAUAUUCGAAGUGCGAAAAAGAAGAAGGUGAACUAAGUUAUGAAAAGCAUUAAAUUUUAUAUAAGCUUGUAUAUUUCUCUAACAUUGUUUGAGAAAAUAUCGUAAUCGUUAUGCAAAAUGUAAAUUUUUUAAUAGAAAUUUGAUUAAAGAAUUAUAUAAAGAAAAAA
Long non-coding RNA from Wasmannia auropunctata (little fire ant), 1135 nucleotides. RefSeq lists it as uncharacterized. The transcript has 2 exons. The record is from RefSeq and is a predicted model, not a curated record. Lineage: Eukaryota; Metazoa; Arthropoda; Insecta; Hymenoptera; Formicidae.